GGGGUAUAGUUGUCCAGCUCUGUUUAGUGGCACAUGUGAUAAUAAUAAUAAUAAUAAUAAUAAUAAUAAUAAUAAUAAUAAUAAUAAUAAUAAUAAUAAUAAUAAUUGAAGAUAUUGCCAGGUCACUAGAUGCAGUUUCUAUUUUUUUUUUUUUUUUUUUUUAUAAAGAUGUUUAGAUGUUUUGUCUACAGCACUAGCCAGGGUUUCACAAAUCAAAAUAUGAUUUAAAUAAGAAAAUACGCGUUGCCAUCCAGCAGGCAUUGCCACCAUCUUUGCCAAGAGACAUUUUGCAAUCCAGUUCUCAACCAAUUUCUCCUGCUUCUAAGGAGCAUGAGAGUUAUUGCAAUGAAACAGGCAGCAACAUUUCAAAACAAAUCCUUUUACAGACUUUAAUCUGAGGAAAAGAGAUUCGAGGUCUGUCGCCAGUGGUAGGAGAUAAUCUUGUAGGGUAGCAAGAAGAAAGUGCCUGAGCUGCAGAUAAAAGACGAGCUCCUGCCGCGGAACAUUAUACAAAUGUUGAAGAUGCUGGAAAGACGCCAGAGCUCCCUGGUGAUGCAGACUGGAGACACAAGUUACACAGCCACCGUCCCACCGCACAGCAAAGGGAAACAGUCGCAGGAUUCAAUCAAGCGCAGCUACAGAGCUUACCCAAAAGCAGUUGGCGUAUAUUUUAAAUGAUGCAUCAAGGACUCGAGAUGUGAAAUAUCCAGGAACAGCAACAGAAAGAGAGACGCCCUCAGACAAUGUUCUCAUUACUUUCAACUACCAUAUGGAAAAAAAUAUAUAUACAGAAGAUACGGGAAGAGUGAAGUGCUGAGAGUGACAUGUAUGUAGACUGCUACACGGCCAGGAAGACGAGGGUCAGAGUGCUCCAUUCUACAUUUGUAAAGGAAAGGAAAACUCAAACUGCUAUGGCACAAAGCAAAGUGUUAGAAAAGAACCUGAGGAUCCUGGUGGAGAAGCUGAAGACAAGCCACCAGUCUGUCCUUGUGGCAAUGAAGACCAUGUGCUGGGCUGUAUUAGAAACAUUGAGGGACACAGUUAUUUCUCUCUACUGGAAUAUGAUGAGGCUGCAUAUGAAAUAUUGUGUCACCUUCAUUGCCUCCAAGACAGAGACACACAUACUGAAGAAAGAGGAUGGCCACAAAAAUUAGGGGUUGGACAACAAUACCCAGGACUAGAUGCUAAAGGAAUUGGAAUGGCUCACCCUGGAGCAGAGGUUUGAGGGGGAACCGACUGCCCUCUUCCACAGCCUACAGUAGAGUUGCAGAGAAGGCUCCAUGCUAGAUCCUUCCCAGAGGUGCACAGAGAAAGGACAGGAGGACAAAAGGACAAGUCACAAGUUACAGGAGGAGGAGUUUAAAGUGCACAUAAAAGAAACUUCCCUGUCUGAGUCGUGAGGGACUGGAACAGGUUGCAUGGGCUGGUUGCAGCACCCUCAUCCAUGGAUGUAUGCACAAACAAACCCUGAGCCACCUAAGUCACUGCUGAAGUGGACCUGCUCUGAAAGGGGCUUGGACUGAAUGGCUGCCAGAGGUCCCUUCCAAGCCAAAUUUCUUAUUAUUAUUUCUGCUGUCUUUAUUUCACCAAGCUGGAGCUUUGCCCUAACUCCAGUCAGUUCUACUUAUGUACAUUUUUCCACUGAUAAGUAGUUUUUGCUAAAAUGCAAGAUACUUUUCUGUGUUUCACAAACAUUGAUUCCCAGGUGGUUUCAACAGAAGCUGUGCUUGUCUCAUGAUAUCACUAGUAUUUCCUCAUAUUUUGGCAUGAAGGACACAGAAUUCAGGUCAUGAGAGGAAAAAUCUCCUUCUAUAAUGUGCAAUUCUGCCAGUAGGAGAGCAGCCUCGACCAUCUCAACUCGACAGAAGCUUCCUCUGGGGAAACAGAGUGCUCCUUCAGUUCCACAACUGCCGAAGACAAAAUACUCUUAUCAAGGUUUCCUAACCAUAGGAUGAGAUCGGAUUCUAGAAUAUUUGUGUGUGUGCAAGUAAUUUUGAGUAAUUUAAUAGAAGUAGAAGAGGAAAGGAGGUUCAGUUGAGCAUUUUUAACUUUCACUGGAACAUCUUAUGAGACAAGAAGUUAAUCCUCUUUGCCACCAGAUUAAUUAUGAAAUGCCAAAAACACGUUAAAAUUUCAUAAAUUUCCCUCUUUUUGGCCUUAAACUGAAAAUAUGAAGUCUUUUCAGUCUCUUUUUAUCUGAUAGGUAUGCCAGAAUUUCUCUUAUCGCACAACCUUCUUUACAAUUUUAUAUUCUAGAUAUUAUCAAAUGCAUUCUUCUGUAUAUAAAUGGAAGCUAACAUACACAUGGAUAUCUAUUUUAAAAAGGUUAUCAAUAUCUAAAAAGCUUGAUUAUUUCUUAAAAAAAAAAAAAAAUCAAAAGUUUUUUUCAAAAGAUAAAUUUUAGGGAUUUUAACAAGUCCAGAUCUUUUUCUCCAUAUUUAAAAAGGCAUUGUCAUUAAAAAGAAAAAAAUCUAGCUGUUAUAUAAUUGCUUGAAUGAAAUAGAAACUUACCCUUUGUAUUUCAUUUGAGUCUGAUUGUCUCUCAUCUUUAUGUUACAGUUUUUACAGACUGGUGUAAAAAAUCAUGCACAUAAAAUCACUCCACAUUCUACAUGUUCGGAAUAGUGGCAUGUCUUCGGUUUCCCUCUAUAAUAUUGAACUCCCUUUAUAUAAUUAUAAUAAUAAUUUUUAGAAGGCACAUUUUGCUGCUGCUUAGUCUUUCUUCUGACUACAAAACAGAUGAACACAAAGCACCCACUUUCAUAGACCUCAACUACAUCCUCAAUUGUUUCAAAUCCUAUUGAUCUAAAAAAAUAAAAAAAAAAAUAAUAAAAAUAAUAAUAAUCUU
This 2848-nucleotide long non-coding RNA is filed under the name Anas platyrhynchos platyrhynchos (common mallard). RNAcentral's name for it is "lncRNA (ENSAPLG00000024062.1)". The record is from RNAcentral. Lineage: Eukaryota; Metazoa; Chordata; Aves; Anseriformes; Anatidae.